AAGAAGCUGAGGUCUCUGCCAACAGCUAAUGAGGAACUGAGACCUCCCAAGAACUAUGAGAGUGAACUUGGAACUGGAUUUUUCAGCCUCAGUCUUCAGAGGACCUCACUCCAGCUGGUAGCUUGACUGCACCUUAUGGGGGACCCUGAGCCACAAAAACUCCCUGCGAAGCUGUUCUCAGAUUCCUGACCCUCAGAAGCUGAGACCCUCGCCGGCAGGGUGGUUCUGUGGAGUCCGGGUGUGUUUUCCUGUUGGCUUUGAUUGUUUCUUUCAUCCAUUCGUGACCAUUGCACCAUGUGUCAGAAAUGGAACUAGGUGACUUUGCACGGGGAUGGAGAAGCUGAGGCAAGAGGUGUGGAAUGAUUUGCCCAAGGAGACCCAGGACACGUGAGCAUGGGCGAACACUUUUUAAUUAUCCUGAUCAAGUGUCGGGGACACCUUCUAGCUGACCCCACCUGUAGUAAAUUAUGAUGUCCUGGAAGGAGGUAAAUUGAUUGAGGGCUGGUGGGCGGAACAGCCUCACAACCUGGCUCUAAGUGGCCGUCCCUUCAGAUGACCCCAGCAGACCCCCCUGUCCUCCGGCUCCGCUUUCCAAACCCACCCUGUUUGUAAUUCCUCAGCAGGGUUUUAAGCUCUGCUGUACUGUCUCAGUUUUACUCCAAAAAUAUGUUGAUCCAAAUAUGCUCUUAGUGUCAUGCUUUAUUAAUGCACUGCGUCUCAUAUUAGCAAGUGCUUUUGAGUCAUAUGCCCUGCAGAAGUUACUGGGUAUCAUUGUUUACCCUGAGUUUAAAAAAAAAAAAAUUCCGUGUGGUCUGACCUCAUGAUACCUAAACCCUGCC
Hipposideros armiger (great roundleaf bat) is the source of this 839-nucleotide long non-coding RNA. RefSeq lists it as uncharacterized. The transcript is spliced from 5 exons. The record is from RefSeq and is a predicted model, not a curated record. Lineage: Eukaryota; Metazoa; Chordata; Mammalia; Chiroptera; Hipposideridae.